CCUACGGGAGGCAGCAGUGAGGAAUAUUGGUCAAUGGACGAGAGUCUGAACCAGCCAAGUAGCGUGAAGGAUGACUGCCCUAUGGGUUGUAAACUUCGUUUAUAUGGGAAUAAAAUUUUCCACGUGUAGGAUUUUGUACGUACCAUAUGAAUAAGGAUCGGCUAACUCCGUGCCAACAGCCGCGGUAAUACGGAGGAUCCGAGCGUUAUCCGGAUUUAUUGGGUUUAAAGGGAGCGUAGGUGGAUUGUUAAGUCAGUUGUGAAAUUUUGGGGCUCAACCGUAAGAUUGCAGUUGAAACUGGCAGUCUUGAGUACAGUAGAGGUGAGCGGAAUUCGUGGUGUAGCGGUGAAAUGCUUAGAUAUAACGAAGAACCCCGAUUGCGAAGGCAGUUCACUGGACUGAAACUGACACUGAGGCACGAAAGUGUGGGUAUCAAACAGGAUUAGAUACCCGAGUAGUC
Molecule: ribosomal RNA, 460 nt
Filed under: uncultured bacterium
Lineage: Bacteria
Description: partial 16S ribosomal RNA
Rfam family: Bacterial small subunit ribosomal RNA
Source: RNAcentral